UACGUAGGGGGCAAGCGUUGUCCGGAAUCAUUGGGCGUAAAGAGCGUGUAGGCGGCCCGGUAAGUCGGUUGUGAAAGUCAGGGGCUCAACCCUUGAAUGCCGACCGAUACUGUCGGGCUAGAGUCCGGAAGAGGCGAGUGGAAUUCCUGGUGUAGCGGUGAAAUGCGCAGAUAUCAGGAGGAACACCUACGGCGAAGGCAGCUCGCUGGGACGGUACUGACGCUGAGACGCGAAAGCGUGGGGAGCAAACAGG
Molecule: ribosomal RNA, 253 nt
Filed under: uncultured bacterium
Lineage: Bacteria
Also listed under: 1 other name
Description: partial 16S ribosomal RNA
Rfam family: Bacterial small subunit ribosomal RNA
Source: RNAcentral